RNAcentral lists this ribosomal RNA (464 nucleotides) under uncultured bacterium. RNAcentral's name for it is "partial 16S ribosomal RNA". It matches the Rfam family "Bacterial small subunit ribosomal RNA", at positions 339 to 795 of the family's 1533-position model. The record is from RNAcentral.
CUACGGGUCGCUGCAGUGGGGAAUAUUGCACAAUGGGCGCAAGCCUGAUGCAGCCAUGCCGCGUGUAUGAAGAAGGCCUUCGGGUUGUAAAGUACUUUCAGCGGGGAGGAAGGGAGUAAAGUUAAUACCUUUGCUCAUUGACGUUACCCGCAGAAGAAGCACCGGCUAACUCCGUGCCAGCAGCCGCGGUAAUACGGAGGGUGCAAGCGUUAAUCGGAAUUACUGGGCGUAAAGCGCACGCAGGCGGUGUGUUAAGUCAGAUGUGAAAUCCCCGGGCUCAACCUGGGAACUGCAUCUGAGACUGGCAAGCUUGAGUCUCGUAGAGGGGGGUAGAAUUCCAGGUGUAGCGGUGAAAUGCGUAGAGAUCUGGAGGAAUACCGGUGGCGAAGGCGGCCCCCUGGACGAAGACUGACGCUCAGGUGCGAAAGCGUGGGGAGCAAACAGGAUUAGAUACCCCAGUAGUC